GCGAGGAGAAGAGCUGGGUGGUCCAGGGGACGCACACGGCGCUGAUGGCCGAGUUCUGCUCCACACAGAUGUCCUUGUAAGGAGGCAGCAGCUCCAACUCUAUCAGCGCAAUGUCAUUCUCAUAUGUAGAGAUGUUGUACCUGGGGUGUAUUAUGAUCCUUUUAACAGGAACAAUGUCAGUUGUGUCCUGGGGAUUCACCUUCGUCCAUACAGAAAACUUUACCCGGAAAUAGGUGGGGUUUAUUCUGAAAGAAAAUCACUGGAUUUAGGUAUAGCAUGGUUAGGCUCCCUGUAGUACUGGCUUAAGGUCUAUGGUAGGGGACUAGAACCUGAAGUACUUUCUUUAGGUCUAAGGUAGGAGUCUAAGGUAGGAUUCUGAAACCUAUAGAACCGGCUUUAAGUCUAAGGCAUGGGUACUGAAGCUUUAGCACUGGCUUUAGGUCAAAGGUAGGUGUCUAGAACCUUUUGUACUGGCUUAAGGUCUAAUGCAGGGGUAGAUAACCUUAAGUACUGAGCUGAUGUUUCUGAGCAAACGUUGCUGUCAUCUGUGAGCAAGCAACUUGUAAGCAGAGACCAUCGGAUACAUUUGAACUGAUAAAUGUUGCAUAAUUACUUAAAUAUAGGUUGGUAUUUGAAAAUCAGCCUCUUCUGACAGCAUAGGUGGGCGUGUCCACCUAGAUAUAUGACGGAUAGAGGAGCAACGUUUGCUACAGUCCACUGGGUAGGCUGGUAGACUGAUCCAUCCAGCACACAUCUAAGUGGACACGCCCACUUGUGAUGUCAGAAUAG
Molecule: long non-coding RNA, 789 nt
Organism: Gadus macrocephalus (Pacific cod)
Lineage: Eukaryota; Metazoa; Chordata; Actinopteri; Gadiformes; Gadidae
Exons: 2
Source: RefSeq, a predicted model, not a curated record